This 254-nucleotide ribosomal RNA is filed under the name uncultured bacterium. Its description in RNAcentral is "partial 16S ribosomal RNA". It matches the Rfam family "Bacterial small subunit ribosomal RNA", at positions 524 to 776 of the family's 1533-position model. The record is from RNAcentral.
UACAGAGGGUGCAAGCGUUAAUCGGAAUUACUGGGCGUAAAGCGUGCGUAGACGGUUGCGUAAGUCAGAUGUGAAAGCCCCGGGCUCAACCUGGGAAUUGCAUUUGAGACUGCGUAGCUAGGGUGCGGAAGAGGGAAGCGGAAUUUCCGGUGUAGCGGUGAAAUGCGUAGAUAUCUGGAGGAACACCGGUGGCGAAGGCGGCAUCCUGGACCAACACUGACGCUGAGUGAGCGAAAGCCAGGGGAGCAAACGGG